This is a non-coding RNA of Lolium perenne, 2319 nucleotides long. The record is from RefSeq and is a predicted model, not a curated record. NCBI's taxonomy places the organism in Eukaryota, Viridiplantae, Streptophyta, Magnoliopsida, Poales, Poaceae.
CGGGCGUGCAUCCCUUCCCUACGUGCCGCUCCGUCCAGCUCGCCUCGCUGCGGCGUCGCGCGUCUGGCCCUGCCGAACCCAACCAGGACGUAUGCGGCGACGAUCCAUCCGCAGCAACAACCCGACCAAGUCCUUGCCGCCGCUGCUGCUCUUCCUCGCGGCCUGAGUUUGCCGGCUCACGCGCCCCAUCCGUGCUCACGACCAGGAUCUCUCACACUCCAAUCAUGCUUCUACAGUACACCGGGGUUGCUGUUUCGGUGCUGCUGUCUACUGCCGUCCACGUCAUGCCGCUGCCGGUGUGCUCCCAAGGUCCAUUUUCCUCAGGUCACUGUCCAUUCCCGUCGCCGGCGCCCUCUGCUAGGUGCUGCGGUGGCGUUGCUCUCCACCAGGGCUACUGCUAGGUGCUACUACAUUCUUCAACUCGGACCUCCACCACAGCACCGCGUCCACAAUCCGGACAACAAAAUCCGAGGUUAUGUUCAUGUACCGGUGGUGGUGCCUGCUGCUGCUGCUGAUGCCGUUGUGUCACCCAGCUGCCCCAGUUUUCUUCGAUUGGGACCUCCUACAGUACCGUGUUCCCGCUCGGUCACUGUCCUUUUCCGGUGGUGUUGCCCUCCGGUGGUGCUGUAGUACCGUGGUGGUGGUGUUCUGCAAAUGCUCCUGCUGGUGCUGCCUGCAUCCACUAAUGGCUGUUGCUCCUGGCUUCUUCGACUGGGUCUAUCGUACAGCGCCAUCCCCCCCAAAGAUCUCUCCUUCUCUCACCGUUUCUCUCUAUUUUCCUUGAACUGCGCCAUGUAUGUUUGCGUAGAAGUGAGGUUUGAUUUUCUUUUUACUACCUUGUUAGUCUGUGGUGAUGAUAAAUGUCUGAAUAUCUAUUCCUUUGUUGUAUGUGUGUUGCUUCCAGAGCAAAACAAUGCUAUAUUCCUUCGUUGCUAUUGACUGGCAUGCCUUGAUUGGUCUGGUUCUCACUAGACACUGUGCUCUGUUUUGGUCUUGUUGACUUGAUUAGGUUAUCUCUCUAGUAGAUUGGCUACUGUUUUUGGUUUAAUUUAUGCAUUAAAAGCAUUGUAAGGUUCAACUGAUUGAUUUGUAGCACAAUAUCGAUGAUUUGCUCAAAUACUAGACCUGGAUAGGUUUGCUAGCUCUUUACUUGUUUUGUUGGAGUAAAAUGAUUGUUCUUUAGCAGCAGCGAAGCAAACAAAGUUUACAUAUUUCAAAAGGGUUUAUUUGUUGCCAAUCACGUGGUUUCUUUUAAUACACGGGUUUUUGGAGUAAUCAAAUCAUUUGACAAGUUCCAACCUAUUUAUGCUUGUAUGAAUUCAAACUUGUCUAGACUGAUGUGUUGCUCUUGUUGGAUAAUACUAGCUGAUUAUUAAUCAACUACUUGUUGUACUACUACUAUUUAACAUCUUAUUUUGCAGCUAGAUUAAUUAAGUAACCGUGUGGAGAUAGAUUUCUCCCAUCUAUUUUUUUGUAGAACCAUUGGUAGCACAUGCCUGUGAGGCUGUAAUUAUGCUCAGGUUACGUUCCUGUAACGGUGGUGCCCUCUGGUUGUGCUGGUGCUGCUGGCGUCUGCGUCGCCGAGCUGCCCCUGUUUUCUUCGACUGUGGUGGUGCUGCUGCUGGCACGGCUUCUUUAGCCCGGAUGUGCCCCUGGUCUGCGUAGUUGGUGGUCUCGCUUGCCGACGGGUCGGUGCCUCUCCUCCUCCUACUGAGACAACAUCGGCAAAUAGAUGGCUCAGGGUUUCUGUUUGCUGGUUGCACUUAAUGGAGCUGAUCUGGACUACUAUAUCAAAGUGGUCAAUUUGUUGUGAGUCAACGCAAUGCUGGCUUAUAAUGAUGCAUGAAUUCUAUUGUUUCUUGUUUCAAAUGCCUGCCGCUGCUUAUCUUGAAACAUUGAUUGCUUUGCUGACCAUUCCAUUUUUUGUUUGUUUUGAGGAUGAGUACUAAAUGGCAACGGUGGCCUUCUUCUUUGACCACAUGAGGUUUGGUAGCAGCUGGGGCCAGAUGCAUCUCUUGGAAGCAAGCUGGCUGGAAAGACCUUGGGGACAAGGAUAUGUCACCAAGCGAUGUCUCUUGGUCCCGAUUCCCGAAGCAGCAGCUGGGCUCCUAGCAAGCAUCUUGAUUAGCUUGAUGUAUAUGGUCGCAAUGCAUGGGCAACCUGAUGCAUGUGUUGUUUUGCUGAUCGUCCCAAGACUGAAUUGUAUGAGAUGUGCUGUAUGCACCUCAUCUUUGUUCAUAUGAAUUGUUUGCUGUGUGAUCUGGGUGUCCGAAAAACCAAGAAGGUCAAUCCAAAAAAUUUAAUUUUCUGUGAUCUCAA